RNAcentral lists this ribosomal RNA (468 nucleotides) under uncultured bacterium. Its description in RNAcentral is "partial 16S ribosomal RNA". It matches the Rfam family "Bacterial small subunit ribosomal RNA", at positions 28 to 507 of the family's 1533-position model. The record is from RNAcentral.
GACGAACGCUGGCGGCGUGCUUAACACAUGCAAGUCGAACGGAAAGGCCCUGCUUUUGUGGGGUGCUCGAGUGGCGAACGGGUGAGUAACACGUGAGUAACCUGCCCUUGACUGUGGGAUAACUUCAGGAAACUGGGGCUAAUACCGGAUAGGAGCUCCUGCUGCAUGGUGGGGGUUGGAAAGUUUCGGCGGUUGGGGAUGGACUCGCGGCUUAUCAGCUUGUUGGUGAGGUAGUGGCUUACCAAGGCUUUGACGGGUAGCCGGCCUGAGAGGGUGACCGGCCACAUUGGGACUGAGGUACGGCCAAGACUCCUACGGGAGGCAGCAGUGGGAAAUAGUGCACAAUGGGCGGAAGCCUGAUGCAGCAACGCCGCGUGCGGGAUGACGGCCUUCGGGUUGUAAACCGCUUGCGCCUGUGACGAAGCGUGAGUGACGGUAAUGGGUAAAGAAGCACCAGCUAACUACGUG